This 497-nucleotide ribosomal RNA is filed under the name uncultured bacterium. Its description in RNAcentral is "partial 16S ribosomal RNA". It matches the Rfam family "Bacterial small subunit ribosomal RNA", at positions 28 to 506 of the family's 1533-position model. The record is from RNAcentral.
GACGAACGCUGGCGGCGUGCCUAAUACAUGCAAGUCGAGCGGACGAAUCGAAAGCUUGCUUUUGAUUCGUUAGCGGCGGACGGGUGAGUAACACGUGGGCAACCUGCCCUGUAGACGGGGAUAACACCGAGAAAUCGGUGCUAAUACCGGAUAACACGAAAUGUCGCAUGACGUUUCGUUGAAAGACGGCGCAAGCUGUCGCUACAGGAUGGGCCCGCGGCGCAUUAGCUAGUUGGUGAGGUAACGGCUCACCAAGGCGACGAUGCGUAGCCGACCUGAGGGGGGGAUCGGCCACACUGGGAGUGAGACACGGCCCAGACCCCUACGGGAGGCAGCGGUGGGGAAUCUUCCGCAAUGGACGAAAGUCUGGCGGAGCAACGCCGGGUGGGCGAAGAAGGCCUUGGGGUGGUAAAGCUCUGUUGUUGGGGAAGAACAAGUAACGCGGUAACUGGCGUUACCGGGAGGGUACCUGGGGAGAAAGCCACGGCUAACUACGU